Molecule: ribosomal RNA, 478 nt
Filed under: uncultured bacterium
Lineage: Bacteria
Description: partial 16S ribosomal RNA
Rfam family: Bacterial small subunit ribosomal RNA
Source: RNAcentral
GAUGAACGCUGGCGGCGUGCUUAACACAUGCAAGUCGAACGAGAAAUGGAGACGGAAACCUUCGGGCGGAAGGCUUCAUUUCGAGUGGCGGACGGGUGAGUAACGCGUGGGUAACCUGCCUCAUACAGGGGGAUAACAGUUGGAAACGACUGUUAAUGCCGCAUAAGACCACAGCACCGCAUGGUGCGGGGGUAAAAACUCCGGUGGUAUGAGAUGGACCCGCGUUCGAUUAGCCAGUUGGCGGGGUAACGGCCCACCAAAGCGACGAUCGAUAGCCGAUCUGAGAGGAUGACCGGCCACAUUGGGACUGAGACACGGCCCAAACUCCUACGGGAGGCAGCAGUGGGGAAUAUUGCACAAUGGGGGAAACCCUGAUGCAGCGACGCCGCGUGAGUGAAGAAGUACUUCGGUAUGUAAAGCUCUAUCAGCAGGGAAGAAAAUGACGGUACCUGAGUAAGAAGCCCCGGCUAACUACGUG